Molecule: ribosomal RNA, 253 nt
Filed under: uncultured bacterium
Lineage: Bacteria
Description: partial 16S ribosomal RNA
Rfam family: Bacterial small subunit ribosomal RNA
Source: RNAcentral
UACGUAGGGUGCAAGCGUUGUCCGGAAUUACUGGGCGUAAAGCGUGCGUAGGCGGUUUGUUAUGUCUGCUGUGAAAUCCCCGGGCUUAACCUGGGAAUGGCAGUGGAAACUGGCGGGCUUGAGUGCGGCAGAGGGGGGUGGAAUUCCGCGUGUAGCAGUGAAAUGCGUAGAGAUGCGGAGGAACACCGAUGGCGAAGGCAGCCCCCUGGGCUGACACUGACGCUGAGGCACGAAAGCGUGGGGAGCAAACAGG